This 46-nucleotide ribosomal RNA is filed under the name Otolemur garnettii (small-eared galago). Lineage: Eukaryota; Metazoa; Chordata; Mammalia; Primates; Galagidae. The record is from RNAcentral.
CCCUGAACAUGCCCGAUCUCAUCUGAUCUCUGAAGCUAAGCAGGGU